This 450-nucleotide ribosomal RNA is filed under the name uncultured bacterium. RNAcentral's name for it is "partial 16S ribosomal RNA". It matches the Rfam family "Bacterial small subunit ribosomal RNA", at positions 354 to 796 of the family's 1533-position model. The record is from RNAcentral.
GUGGGGAAUCUUCCGCAAUGGACGAAAGUCUGACGGAGCAACGCCGCGUGAGUGAAGAAGGUUUUCGGAUCGUAAAGCUCUUUCGUUAGGGACGAACGUGCUCUUUGUGAAUAAUGAGGAGUAAUGACGGUACCUAAAUAAGAAGCCACGGCUAACUACGUGCCAGCAGCCGCGGUAAUACGUAGGUGGCAAGCGUUGUCCGGAAUUAUUGGGCGUAAAGCGCGCGCAGGCGGGAUAUCAAGUCUGUCGUAAAAGUGCGAGGCUCAACCUCGUGAGGGGACAGAAACUGGUAUUCUUGAGUGUCGGAGAGGAAAGUGGAAUUCCAAGUGUAGCGGUGAAAUGCGUAGAGAUUUGGAAGAACACCAGUGGCGAAGGCGACUUUCUGGACGAUGUCUGACGCUGAGGCGCGAAAGCUAGGGGAGCGAACGGGAUUAGAUACCCGUGUAGUCC